CAACGCUGGCGGCGUGCCUAAUACAUGCAAGUCGAGCGAACAGAGAAGGAGCUUGCUCCUUCGACGUUAGCGGCGGACGGGUGAGUAACACGUGGGCAACCUACCUUAUAGUUUGGGAUAACUCCGGGAAACCGGGGCUAAUACCGAAUAAUCUGUUUCACCUCAUGGUGAAACACUGAAAGACGGUUUCGGCUGUCGCUAUAGGAUGGGCCCGCGGCGCAUUAGCUAGUUGGUGAGGUAACGGCUCACCAAGGCGACGAUGCGUAGCCGACCUGAGAGGGUGAUCGGCCACACUGGGACUGAGACACGGCCCAGACUCCUACGGGAGG
This 329-nucleotide ribosomal RNA is filed under the name Lysinibacillus sp. TJI-55. RNAcentral describes it as "bacterial SSU rRNA". It matches the Rfam family "Bacterial small subunit ribosomal RNA", at positions 32 to 348 of the family's 1533-position model. Lineage: Bacteria; Bacillati; Bacillota; Bacilli; Caryophanales; Bacillaceae. The record is from RNAcentral.